This is a long non-coding RNA of Dalotia coriaria, 393 nucleotides long. RefSeq lists it as uncharacterized. The record is from RefSeq and is a predicted model, not a curated record. The transcript has 2 exons. NCBI's taxonomy places the organism in Eukaryota, Metazoa, Arthropoda, Insecta, Coleoptera, Staphylinidae.
UUUGCAAUAUAAGUACUCCGUAGGCGUGAGGGUUUUAUAUCAGAAAAACUUUAACAUUGAAACAGAUGACAUAGCAAUCAAUCAUGUUUCAAAGUAAAAUUAUUGUCUGUGUACUGGUAGUGGUUUAUUUGAGUAUUGUAUAUGCAAGUCCAAUUAAAGACGAGUCAAACUCCGAUUUGGAUAAGAUAAACAAAGAAGAAAAAGCAUGCUUACCUAUUCCAAUAAUUGGACGUUAUUACAGUUUUAUUUUCCGCAUUCUUACCGAUUUAGUGCCGAUGCCAUCAUUUUUGUCUGAGUUCUUAAGAAAAACAUUUGUUUGCAACGCUUGAUAAAUGAUAUGUAUCUAAAAUACUUCACUGUUUACAUGAUUUUAAUAAAUUGAAUUAAACUAAA